RNAcentral lists this ribosomal RNA (441 nucleotides) under uncultured bacterium. Its description in RNAcentral is "partial 16S ribosomal RNA". It matches the Rfam family "Bacterial small subunit ribosomal RNA", at positions 338 to 795 of the family's 1533-position model. The record is from RNAcentral.
CCUACGGGAGGCAGCAGUGGGGAAUAUUGCGCAAUGGUGGCAACCCUGACCCAGCAACGCCGCGUGAUUGAGGAAGGCCUUCAGUUUGUAAAGAUCUUUAAUCGGGGACGAAUUUUGACGGUACCCGAAGAAUAAGCUCCUGCUAACUACGUGCCAGCAGCCGCGGUAAUACGUAGGGAGCAAGCGUUAUCCGGAUUUACGGGGUGUAAAGGGCGUUUAGGCGGGCAUGGAAGCCAGAAGUGAAAUCUGGGGGCUUAACCCCCAAACUGCUUUUGGAACUGGGUGUCUUGAGUGAGGGAGAGGCAGGCGGAAUGCCCAGGGUAGCGGUGAAAUGCGUAGAUAUUGGGAGGAACACCAGUGGCGAAGGCGGCCUGCUGGACAUUAACUGACGCUGAGGCGCGAAAGCGUGGGGAGCAAACAGGAUUAGAUACCCCGGUAGUC